RNAcentral lists this long non-coding RNA (1457 nucleotides) under Phascolarctos cinereus (koala). RNAcentral describes it as "lncRNA (ENSPCIG00000015267.2)". Lineage: Eukaryota; Metazoa; Chordata; Mammalia; Diprotodontia; Phascolarctidae. The record is from RNAcentral.
CCAAGUCCAGCACAUGUGUCUGUGUGCCUAAAUGUGUCUAUUUCUAGGCAGGAGAAGGCAGACAGGAGCAAUGGCAGGGUGCACAUGGGAAACAUCUUGCAAAAGCCCCAGUUCUUAAUUCAAUGCAGUUUGGCACUACUUGGUGAUGGUCCUUUUGUGAGCAGGGAUUCCGGAGGUGCUGGACAAGGGCCGGUGAGUGUAGGGGGAGGAAUGGGAGCUUCUCUGAGCUGUUUCUCCUAUUCCUCCCCGGCAUAUCAUGGUUUAUCCUGUCUUGUGUCUCUACCUAUACCUCCACUAAUAACUGUAGGUGUCUGAGUUAAACCCGACACUCAAGAGAAAUCCUUGUUUCCUUUAUCCUACUGCCCACCACUCCUCCCUGAGAGACUCAGUCCCCUUCUUUCCAUCCUGGAUACUCUGCUUCCAAUCCCCACCCCCUUCCCAUUGCAGCUCAUAUCCUUGAACGGUUGGAGAAGGCCCCCAGAAUGUCAUCUUUCAGAUGCUAGGUUCCCUGACACCUUCAAGUUACAUAAUGGUUUUAAAUUCUCACUCUGGACUCCGGAGGAGGAACUUUUAACAAGUCUCACACUUUGGUGAGCAGCAUUUAUGAGCUGGCAGAGUUAAGGAAGGGGGUGGGUGGGAGAAUGGGGAUGGAGUUUAAAGAUGCCAACAGCUAGAAUCAUAAAAUCAUAGCAUAUUAGAGCUGGAAGGGACCUUAAACAUCAUCUAGUCUAAUUCCUGUUUCUUUUCAGGCAUGUGUGAGAGAAGAUUGGAUUGUUUGAAGAAGGUAAAACUGGAAGAAGAAUCAACAAACUCACAGAGGUCAAAUGAGUAAAUUGCUGUAUUUUUUCUUUGGGGAUUGGUGUGGAAAGGAGGUGGUGCUGCUGUGGGAAGGGGCAGCGUAUUAUAAGGAUGGGUAUUUUCUUUUCACAUGUGCCUAGAUAACUAAUCCAAUAUGUGAAAGAUGAUUGGUUUUUUCUCCCACAAUUAUAGAUCCUUAUUUCUGUCACUUUGGGGGCCCCCUGGUAUUCCUUACUUUGAUUUGUGGGGAGUAGAAUCCCUGGUCAGUCUGCGAAGUCCCCCAAACAUUAAUCUGGAACACAUGAGGGAUGAGUGGACUUUUCUUGAACAUGUGUAUCCUUUUCUAUCUAAAUAUGUCCCUGCUUCUGGUGCAUGACACCUUGAUUUGCAAGGGCUCCCCAUUCUAUGUCACAACCUUCUUAGGCUGAUACAACCUCUCAGAUUUCACUUCCGUUUAAUUUAAGGAGCAUGCACUGGCAGACUGUGUGCUAGGCAUUAUGCUGGAGACACAAAGACAAAAUGAAUCAGUUUUUGCCUUCCAGAAACUUAUAUUCUGGUGGGGCUGGUGGUAUAUGAGAAAGAAAUAGCAUUUGUACAGAUAAGUAAAUACAAAAAAAUAUAAAAAUAAACAGAAGAUAAUUUUUUGGGGAGGGGGUACU